UCGAAUUUUAUAAACUCGAGUCUUGAAAGGGGUAAACCUUUUCGGGGCUCGUUUUCAUAAAACCAACCCCAUUUGUGAACCAUCGCAUGAGUUAGUAGGGGAAGGAGAGUGCGCUUUGUUGUGUGCCCUCUUCCUUUGAAAGCUUGCGACAAUCCUACAUACCCCAGUAUUAAGUCUCAGAAUGUUACUUUGCGUAGAACGCAAUAAAAAAAAAAUA
Molecule: unclassified non-coding RNA, 217 nt
Filed under: uncultured fungus
Lineage: Eukaryota; Fungi
Description: sequence contains ITS1, 5.8S rRNA gene
Source: RNAcentral